RNAcentral lists this ribosomal RNA (326 nucleotides) under uncultured bacterium. RNAcentral's name for it is "partial 16S ribosomal RNA". It matches the Rfam family "Bacterial small subunit ribosomal RNA", at positions 773 to 1079 of the family's 1533-position model. The record is from RNAcentral.
AGGGAAUAGAUACCCUGGUAGUCCUGGCCCUAAACGAUGCGCACUAGGUAGCGGGGGAUUCCGAUUUGCCGCUGCCGGAGUAAAAAAAAACUCUUAAGUGCGCCGCCUGGGGUAGUACGGCCGCAAGGUUAAAAACCUCAAAGGAAUUGACGGGGGUCUCACACAAGCGGUGGAGGAUGUUGCUUAAUUCGAAGCGACGCGUAGAACCCUUACCAGGACUUGACAUGCUGGUGGUAGGACCCGGAAACGGGAACGACUCUCCUUACGGAGAGAGCCAGCACAGGUUGUUGCAUGGCUGUCGUCAGCUCGUGCCGUGAGGUGUCGGG